UACUCCUACGGGAGGCAGCAGUGGGGAAUUUUGGACAAUGGGCGAAAGCCUGAUCCAGCAAUGCCGCGUGUGUGAAGAAGGCCUUCGGGUUGUAAAGCACUUUUGUCCGGAAAGAAAUCCUUGGCUCUAAUACAGUCGGGGGAUGACGGUACCGGAAGAAUAAGCACCGGCUAACUACGUGCCAGCAGCCGCGGUAAUACGUAGGGUGCAAGCGUUAAUCGGAAUUACUGGGCGUAAAGCGUGCGCAGGCGGUUUGCUAAGACCGAUGUGAAAUCCCCGGGCUCAACCUGGGAACUGCAUUGGUGACUGGCAGGCUAGAGUAUGGCAGAGGGGGGUAGAAUUCCACGUGUAGCAGUGAAAUGCGUAGAGAUGUGGAGGAAUACCGAUGGCGAAGGCAGCCCCCUGGGCCAAUACUGACGCUCAUGCACGAAAGCGUGGGGAGCAAACAGGAUUAGAUACCCUGGUAGUCCACGCCCUAAACGAUGUCAACUAGUUGUUGGGGAUUCAUUUCCUUAGUAACGUAGCUAACGCGUGAAGUUGACCGCCUGGGGAGUACGGUCGCAAGAUUAAAACUCAAAUGAAUUGACGGA
RNAcentral lists this ribosomal RNA (590 nucleotides) under uncultured bacterium. Its description in RNAcentral is "bacterial SSU rRNA". It matches the Rfam family "Bacterial small subunit ribosomal RNA", at positions 334 to 917 of the family's 1533-position model. The record is from RNAcentral.